CCCUGCCAUUUGUACACACCGCCCGUCGCUACUACUGAUGAAUUGUUUAGUGAGGUCUCUGGACGUGUACACCGUAAUACCCUCGUGGUAUUUGGUAUGUUGCACAGAAGCUGACCGAACUUGAUUAUUUAGAGGAAGUAAAAGUCGUAACAA
RNAcentral lists this ribosomal RNA (153 nucleotides) under uncultured eukaryote. Its description in RNAcentral is "partial small subunit ribosomal RNA". It matches the Rfam family "Eukaryotic small subunit ribosomal RNA", at positions 1651 to 1797 of the family's 1831-position model. The record is from RNAcentral.